UCGUAACAAAGGUGCGGGAGGCGCUCGGAGGCUGUCGCCGACUUGAAAAGGUUGUGCACGCCCGAGGGCGUCCUCUCGCACCAUAAUCCAUCUCACCCUUUUGUGCACCACCGCGUGGGCCCCCUCCUCGAGGGGGCUCACGUUUUCAUACAAACCCCCUUUGUAGAACCUAUGUAGAAUGAACCCACUCUUCGCGUUGACACGCGAUCAAAUA
Molecule: unclassified non-coding RNA, 214 nt
Filed under: uncultured Russulales
Lineage: Eukaryota; Fungi; Basidiomycota; Agaricomycetes; Agaricales
Description: sequence contains ITS1
Source: RNAcentral